UUGCAUCCCCUCUUUUUUUCCUUUUUCGGUUUGGUUUGGUUUAGUUCGGUCAGUUUGAUCGGUUUAUCGAUUUUUAUGCUCACCCCUAGCCACAACCACCUCCAUUGCCGAAGAAAUGGGGAGUAAAACAUCCACUACAAAUUUGAAUAAGACUCUCCCUUCUUAGUGUGAUUAAGAUAUGUUGGAGGGUAUUUUUAUUGCAUCUUAUUUUAAUUAUGAUUUGUUGAUGGUGAAACUUUGUGUUAAUUCUUUUAAGUGUUGUGUAGGUUGCUUUGUGAAGGCUUUUGGAAGAAUGGAUGCAUCAUAUUUUUUGCAAGGAUAUUAUCUCUAUGUGUAUUUUUGUGAUGGGUUGUAAUCUUUAAUGUCAUAAGUUUAAUUUGGUUUGUGUAUUAUUUUUUGUAAUGGUUUGUAAGAGAUUAUAUUUCCUUUCUUGGUUGGUUGGUUGGUUGAAUGUGUGUAUGUGAGAUUUAUUUAGUUUAGAAACUUAGAUUGGAAUGAUGGAUUUUUAUAGCUUGAAUGUACAUAAUUUCAGGUUUUGAAAGAGAAGUAAAAAGUGUUUUGGGCUUGUUCAU
Long non-coding RNA from Prunus persica (peach), 572 nucleotides. RefSeq lists it as uncharacterized. The record is from RefSeq and is a predicted model, not a curated record. NCBI's taxonomy places the organism in Eukaryota, Viridiplantae, Streptophyta, Magnoliopsida, Rosales, Rosaceae. The transcript has 2 exons.